UAGGGAAUCUUCGGCAAUGGGGGCAACCCUGACCGAGCAACGCCGCGUGAGUGAAGAAGGUUUUCGGAUCGUAAAGCUCUGUUGUAAGAGAAGAACGUGUGUGAGAGUGGAAAGUUCACACAGUGACGGUAACUUACCAGAAAGGGACGGCUAACUACGUGCCAGCAGCCGCGGUAAUACGUAGGUCCCGAGCGUUGUCCGGAUUUAUUGGGCGUAAAGCGAGCGCAGGCAGUUUAAUAAGUCUGAAGUUAAAGGCAGUGGCUUAACCAUUGUUCGCUUUGGAAACUGUUAAAAUUGAGUGCAGAAGGGGAGAGUGGAAUUCCAUGUGUAGCGGUGAAAUGAGUAGGUAUAUGGUGGAACACCGGUGGCGAAAGCGGCUCUCUGGUCUGUAACUGACGCUGAGGCUCGAAAGCGUGGGGAGCAAACAGG
Molecule: ribosomal RNA, 429 nt
Filed under: bacterium
Lineage: Bacteria
Description: partial 16S ribosomal RNA
Rfam family: Bacterial small subunit ribosomal RNA
Source: RNAcentral